ACGCUCGACACCUACGGGAGGUAGCAGUGGGGAAUAUUGCACAAUGGAGGAAACUCUGAUGCAGCGACGCCGCGUGGAGGAAGAAGGUCUUCGGAUUGUAAACUCCUGUUGUUGAGGACGAUAAUGACGGUACUCAACAAGGAAGUGACGGCUAACUACGUGCCUGCAGCCGCGGUAAUCUGAGCGGGCUGGCAAGGC
This 198-nucleotide ribosomal RNA is filed under the name uncultured bacterium. RNAcentral describes it as "partial 16S ribosomal RNA". It matches the Rfam family "Bacterial small subunit ribosomal RNA", at positions 328 to 539 of the family's 1533-position model. The record is from RNAcentral.